RNAcentral lists this long non-coding RNA (219 nucleotides) under Solanum tuberosum (potato). RNAcentral's name for it is "long non-coding RNA (STUB_LNC005924)". The record is from RNAcentral. Lineage: Eukaryota; Viridiplantae; Streptophyta; Magnoliopsida; Solanales; Solanaceae.
GCUCAUUCACCCACUUCUCCACCUGAACCCUCCUUCUAACUGCAUAUUUAGUUACUGCUUGUCUAAAUUCUUUCGCAUCUUUAAACACCAUGCCCAACUGCCACACAACUUUCUUUGCAGUAGGAUCAUGAAUGAUUUUUUGAGUUUUUGAACUCCUCUUUCUUGACAACUUUACCCUUCUUGAUCUAUCAGAUUCAUGUUCAUCAUCAUUACAACACU